GGCGUGCUUACACAUGCAAGUCGAACGAGGUGAUUGAAAGCUUGCUUUUGAGAACCGAGUGGCAAACGGGUGAGUAACGCGUAGACAACCUGCCGCAAAGAUGGGGACAACAGUCCGAAAGGACUGCUAAUACCGAAUGUUGUCAGUUUCUCACAUGAGAGACUGAUUAAAGAUGGCCUCUACUUGUAAGCUAUCGCUUUGCGAUGGGUCUGCGUCUAAUUAGCUAGUUGGUGGGGUAACGGCCUACCAAGGCGACGAUCAGUAGCCGGUCUGAGAGGAUGAACGGCCACAUUGGAACUGAGACACGGUCCAGACUCCUACGGGAGGCAGCAGUGGGGAAUCUUCCGCAAUGGGCGAAAGCCUGACGGAGCAACGCCGCGUGAGUGAAGAAGGGUUUCGGCUCGUAAAGCUCUGUUGACGGGGACGAACGUGCGAGAUGCGAAUAGUUUCUUGCAAUGACGGUACCCGUCGAGGAAGCCACGGCUAACUACGUGCCAGCAGCCGCG
Molecule: ribosomal RNA, 506 nt
Filed under: uncultured rumen bacterium
Lineage: Bacteria
Description: bacterial SSU rRNA
Rfam family: Bacterial small subunit ribosomal RNA
Source: RNAcentral